RNAcentral lists this non-coding RNA (30 nucleotides) under Homo sapiens (human). The record is from RNAcentral. Lineage: Eukaryota; Metazoa; Chordata; Mammalia; Primates; Hominidae.
UCAUCUUCUCGGAGCUGCUGUCCAACCUGU